RNAcentral lists this long non-coding RNA (10793 nucleotides) under Ananas comosus (pineapple). RNAcentral describes it as "long non-coding RNA (ACOM_LNC008543)". Lineage: Eukaryota; Viridiplantae; Streptophyta; Magnoliopsida; Poales; Bromeliaceae. The record is from RNAcentral.
AAAACUUUUAUCAAAAUUUAGAUUCAAUUAAAAAUUUAAAUUUAAAAUUUGAAUUUCAAUUCAAAAUUUAAAUUCAGCUUAAAAUUCAAAUUCAAAAUUCAAAUUUCUCGUUAGUUUAAAAUUUUAAUUUUAAUAUUAUUUUUGAAUUUAAAUUUAAAAUUUUGAAUUUUUAUUUUUAGGGACUAAAAUAAAAAAUGUGCAAAAUUUAAGAACCUAAAUUGAAUGCAAAAGGUUGCCAAAUAAACGCUGAUGUGACAAUUCCGUUAAUGUUAACAGUUUUUUUUAACUGUUGGGACGUAAUUGUAAUAAAAUCAAGAGAUUAGGGACUCAAUUGCAAAAAAAAAAAAAAAAAGUUGGGGACUCAAGUGAAAAUUAGUGAGAAGGUUGGGGACUACCGGUGUAAUUAACGCUUUCUUUUAUCUAUAUUAGAGGUAUUCAACACCACAAAUAAAUUGAAUUACAACGCUUCCUACUGCAUCCAACCAGAUAAGAUACAUAAAGUUGUAACUUGCAAUGCUGCCCACUAUAUCCAACCAAACAAUAUGUAUAUAGUUUUAACUUGCAAUACUUUCUAUUACAUCCAACCAAACAAAAUACAUAUAGUUGUAACUUGCAACGCCUUCUAUUACAUCCAACCAAACAAAAUACAUAUAGUUGCAACUUGCAACGCUUUCUAUUACAUCUAACCAAACAAAAUACAUGUAAUUAUAACUGUUGUACUGUUAGUUACGUGCAUCUCUAACUAUACUAUAAUUCUAAUUACAUUAAAAGGGAAGCAACCCUUUAAUAUAGUAUAGAAGUAACUCAAGAAAAUCUAUUUGAUUUGUUAUACUUUUAGAUGGAGACCCAAUUACUAUGUUUCAGCCGUUGCGUAAACUAGAUGAAGUUGAAAAUAUAGCAGUUGAAAAAGAAAAUAUUAAACACGCAAAUAAUCUUUCCACCAACUCAUCUCUUUAAUAAAAUAUAAAGAUAAACGCCUACGUCUCUCUUAAAUAAAAGAGAUAAUCUUCUUUCAGCAUAAUUUCACCGACUAUCGGAGUAAGCAUGUAGACUAAUGAACUAAAGUUAAUUUCUUAAUCACUUCAUAUAUGUAGACUAAUGAAAUAAAUGUAUCCCAAAUAUAAGCAUCCACAAUUUCCUUCAAAAGUUUCUUAACCCUUCGAACAACCAUCUCCCUUACGACUCUUGGAAAACCACACAACGAUUUAAAAACAAAGAAGUUCAUCUAGAUUCAUGUUGACUAGUAAUUAACUCAGCCAAGAACUAAGAUUUAAAAAAGAUUUAUGCAUAAACUCGACCAAGAAAUAGAAUUCAAAUAUCCCAGCCAAUUUUGACUCGCCACAUUCAAGAUCAUACCAGCACUUUACACAAUCUAUAAUGAAAAAGCAAAGCUAGAUUAUAAAAAAAAAGGAAAAGGAAAAGGGUAAUCCAAUAUCGAACAUUUUUAGUCCCUUUUAUUUUUCAAUAGAUUUCCCUUUAAUUGAUGUGAACCAUAAAAAUUAUACCAUCCGAUUAUAAAUCAAACCCAUUUUAAACAAAACCAUUCUCCUUUACACCAUCCAACUUAAAAAGACCAGCAAUACUCCAGCAUAAAAAAAACACAACAAAGGAAAAGGAACAGUAAAAUAUUAACAUUUUCUGAUCCACACCAUCUGGGAGUGUGGAUUUACACUAGUCUAAAAAAUUAAAAAUUUGAGAUAAUUGUAAUAGGAGCAUGCAAAACUAGAUUAUAAAUGAAUCGACAGAUAAUGGUGAUUACAUUCACUUCAAGUGAAAGAUUGAACCACAUGCAUUUCAUAUAUAGUUUAAUAAAUCGUCAAUGUCGAUGGUCCUAGUGAAAAAGGAGAUCACCGUAAUCAGUUCUAUAUUUACCAUGCAUUCAAAUUUAAUAACCAUUCCAAUCUUUUUAGCCUGUUUGAGCCAGUGGUAAAUGAUGCAAUUUUCUUAUGCAGCAGAUUAUACAUUAAUAAAGUUGAUGUUACAAUACACUAAAGUGUAAGAUACAAAAUUAAUCUCCUAAAUUAGUAAGAGGAAUAGAUUAUAACAAGAGGAAUAAGAGUUAUAAUUUUAAAUUAAAAUAUUUUUAUCUAAUUAAUUAACAUCAAAAUAUUAAUUUAAAAUAAUUUAAUAAAUUAAUAAAUUUAUUAGCUAUGAAUAUUGUCUAAGAUAAUAAAAAUAUAUUAAUUAAUUGAUUAAAUAUAAAAAAUAAUUUAACUUUUUAAUUAGUUAGUAAAUUAUUUUAGUUAGAUAACUAGUAAAAAAAAUCUUCAUUAGAUUAAUAAAAAUAUUAAUGGUUGAUCAAUAUAAUUAUUAGUUUAUAGAUAAACACAUUAAAUUAUUAAUAAUUAAUUAGCUAAAUAAGUAUAAGUAGUAAAUUAAUUAAUUAUUUUAUUAUUUAAGCAAUGGAUAAUGAUUUAAAUACAUUAAUUAGAUUAAUUAAUGAUUUAAUAACAUAAUUAAAAUUAAAAUUUGGACUUUAAUUAACCUUGUUCUCACUUGAGAACAAACUUAUUCCAUGAAAGGAUGGAACAACAGUUCCAGACUUAUAUCUGAUUAUAUUAGCCUAUUCCAGAGACCUAAUAAAUUACUGUUCUCAGGUAUAAAAAUUUACGUUUGAGAACAAGGGGGUCUAAUGACCUAUGUACUCCAAAAGUCAACCCUAUCAUUCAAUGCAAUCUUUUUUAUCUAUGGUUAGAAACCACAAACACACACACACAAAAGAAAAAUCUUCAACUAAUUACAAGUUGACUAGUCAUAAUUUGCCAAUUUUUAAAAGGAAAAAAGAUUUAAUACAGCACAAACAUUGAAGCUAUGUGGAACCCAACAUCCAAUUAUACCAUCCAUUUAUGCCCCAUCCUAUUCUAUACCAAACCAUCUUCUUCUUCCUCCACCCCUUACACAAUCCAACAUAAAAAGCAGCAAAAAUAUGAGAAAAAGAGAGAGAGAGAAUAAAAGGGAAACUAAAAAGGAAAAGGAUACUAUACUGAAAUCUUUAAUUUAUGUUGUCUAAUUGUUAACUCAGCUCAGUAAUUGGAAAAGAAAAAAGAUUUAUACAGGGCAAAGUCCACAAUUUUUUUUCCAGUAAAAAUCCCUCCAAUUUAUGUUAAACAUUCAAAUAUACUAUCCAAUUAUACCUCAACAUCCCAUUCUAUAGAAAACCAUCUUCUUCUUCUUCCUCCAUCACCUCUUACACAAUCCAAAUGAGGGGUAAAAAAAAAAAAGAGAGAAAGGAUAAGAAAAUGAUAAGAUACUAAAAAUUUAAUUUAUUUAUGUUCUCUAUUCUUUAUCUCAACCAACUAUUGAAAAUAAAAGAAAAAAGAUUUACACAGUGUAAAGUCCACUUUUUUUUUUCUAUUACAAAUCACUCUAAUUUAUGUGGAACCAAACAUUCAGAAAUACCCAUCCAAUUAUGCUCCAACAAUAUCCCAUUCUAAACCAAACGAUCAUCUUCUUCUAUCAACCCUAACACAAUCCAACAUAACAAACAGUAAAACUAUGAGGAAAAGAAAAGGAUAUAAGAUACUAAAUCUUCAAUUUAUUUCGUGAGCUCAACCAUCUAUUGAAAAAUUGAAGGAAAAUAAGAUUUAUACAGUACAAAGUCCACGCUUUUUUUUUUUUCUUUUAACCAUCACAAAUCCCUCUAAUUUACGUGGAAUCGAACAUUCAAAUAUACCAUCCAAUUCUAGGCACCAAAUCCAAAGAGAGGAGGAGCGAAGGAUACUAACCUUAAAGGUCGAACUGUUCCAUUUGGACGUCCUUGGCCUUGAGGGGGACGUACUCGCCGAGGUAGACCUCAAGGUGGUCGGCGAGGUCGCCGCGGUCGAUGCUCUCGUGGUGGUGGGAUUUGCACACGAAGUAGACCACGGUUUGGACGACGAGGGCGAAGAGCACGACGGCGCAGAGGAGGCCGAGCAUCAGCGCGGCCAAGGCGAACCGCGCCCCCAACCCGCCGACGCGGCCCUUCACCACGAGCUCCCGGAACGCGACCUCGACGCCGACGAAGCAGAGGUUGAGCUUGACGAAGAUGGCCGCGGCGGUGCGGAGCUUGCCGCGGAUGAGGGCGCGGCUCUUGCGCAUGGCGUCGAAGCCCUUGGCGUCCUCGAGGACGGAGACGACGCUGGCGAGGUGCCAGACGACGCUGAGGUAGACGAGGCCGGCGAGGUAGGCGAGGGCGAGGACGAGGGCGGCGGCGGCGGCGACGCCGCCGUCGGGGGGCGCGAGGAAGAAGAGGACGAGGACGAAGAGGGCGAAGGCGAGGGCGUUGUAGGCGACGAGGAGGAGGAAGGCGGAGAGGUAGGUGACCAUGAGGCGGCGCCAAACCCUAGGGACGACGGAGAGGACGCGGGGGAGGGAGAGCUCCUUGGCGGAGUACACGGAGGCGACGGAGUAGACCACGGCGGCGGUGGAGAGGAGGGAGAGCGCGAGGAGGGCGACGAGGUAGAGCGCCUUGAAGAGGAGGAGCGCGGCCCAGUCCGAGGCGAGCCGAUCGAGGAGGCGCGUCUCCGACGGGGACCCGGGGGGCGCGCGCUCCACGGCGGCGUCGUCGGAGUCGAUGGAGGAGAAGAGGAUGUGGGAGAUGUGGAUGUGCGCGAGGAAGAGCACCGAGAGCGGGAGCACCAGGUACAGCGCGAUCUUGGAGAAGAGCCCCCGCCAUGCGUGGAGGAGCUUUCCAGCCUCCCUGUAGAUCCCCACCACCCCCAGGAACUGCAGCUCCUCGGGCUCGCAAUCCAUGGCCGAUCUCGGCGUAGCUUAGCUCGUCGGAGCAGCACGGAGGAGCUCGUCGGCCGCGGAGGAGAGGGGAACUAGGGUUGGAUCCUCGAUCCGGAUUAGGGUUUGGGGAUUAGGGUUAGGUUUAGGGUUAGAGAUCGAGAGAGAGAAAGAGAGAGAGAGAGAGAGAAAUGGAGACGAAGACGAAAAUGAGGGGAAUAAUAAAUGGGGGAAAAUUGGAAAAUUUGGGGGAAGGUGGACUUUGGAUUCGCGAGAUUGACCCUGGACUUCAGUUUAAUUACGGAGACAUGCCAUUCUCUUGUAAUUAUUAAAUAAUUAAAUAAUUAAUUAAAGCUGGGGCCAGGGUUUGUUGUGAUGGACCAUGGACGAUGAUGAUCAUUUGGUUCGAUUGCACCAUCUUACGUAUUUUUUUACUGUUGCGUGGACCUGAUCCAAUGACCCGACCCGUAAAUAUAUAUAUAUAUUUUUUAUAAAUCUAGCUGUUAUUUUAGUUUAUUUCAAAUGAAUAAAAAUUUAUAAAUCAUAUUUAUCAACAAAUUUAGAAUAAAAUUUAUAUUUUAAAAUUUAAUUUUGAUCCAUUAUAUAAUUAAAAAUUUUUAAUUAUUAAUUCAAAUUUGAUAUCAAAAAUUAAAAUUUUCAGGCUAAUUUGCAUAAAAAAAUUCACUUAUUUUGGACUUUUCUAAAACCGGACCACCUUUUUCGUUUUUGCUUAUUCGGUCUGCUUUUUUAGCAAACUGGCUAAGAUACCCUUAUACCUUUUUCUCUCUCAUCUUUUUUUCUCUCGUUCUUUUUUUUUCUCUUCUUAGAGAGCGGGGAAGACAAAGCGGACUCUCACCCGCACACCCCCACCUUCCUCGCCUCCGACCUCGCCGAGGCCGCGCCGCGACUCUUUUUUUCUUUUUUUUUUCCUCUUAGACUCUUCCUCUACUGUCUCCGACGACGACGCCUCUCUUGCCCUCCUCCACCCUUCUCGUCCUCUCUCUCUCUCCCUCCUCCUCUACCGCCUCCGACGACGAUGCAUCUUCGCCGUCGCCGUCACCAGCGCCGACGCCGGCGACGACACCGUGGAGGUCACUGCGGCUCUGCAGCCUCUGAGCGGGGGGUUCUCAGCGGUAUCGUCGUCGGCGCCGUGGCCGCUGGCAGAGAGGGGUGACCAAAAAAAUUAUAAAAGAAGCAAGAAAAAAAAUAAAAAAAAAAUUAUAGAACAAGAAUGAUGAAGAUGAAAUUGCAUCGUUAACUGAAAAAAAAAUUAUAAGUUGCACUACUUAAGAUGUAAACUGCAGCUUUAAGAUGAACAUUACACUCUUUAAACGAAAAUUACACUCUUUGGAAGAGAUUUACACUGUUUCUUCUCUUAUUGCACUCUUUCAGAUGUAAACUGCACCACGAAGAUGAAAAUUACACUCUUUAAACAAAAGUUGCACUGUUUCUUCUCUUGUUGCACCAUUUCUCCUCUUGUUAUACUAUUUUUUAUCUUAAACUGCACCCAUUUAAGAGAUAUUUAUAUUGUUUCUCCUCUUGUUGCACUAUUUUUUCUCUUGUUGCACUACUUCUCCUCUUAAAAUAUUGUUUCUCCUCUUAAAGGGUGCAGUUUAAAAUAAAAACAGUGUAACAGGAGGAGAAAUAGUGCAAUAAGAGGAGAAACAGUAGAAAUAUCUCUUAAAUGGGUGCAGUUUAAGAUAAAAAAUAGUGUAACAAGAGGAAAAAUGGUGCAACAAGAGGAGAAACAAUGCAACUUUUGUUUAAAUAGUGUAAUUUUCAUCUUAGUGGUGCAGUUUACAUCCGAAAAAGUGCAAUAAGAGGAGAAACAGUAUAAAUAUCUUCCAAAGAGUGUAAUUUUCGUUUGAAGAGUGUAAUUUUCAUGUUAAAACUGCAGUUUACAUCUUAAGUAGUGCAAUUUAUAAUUUUUUUUCUAGUUAACGAUGCAAAUUCAUCUUCAUCCUUCUUUUUUUAUAAUUUUUUAUCUUUAUUUUUUUUUUUUGCUUCUUUUAUAAUUUUUUUUGGUCACCCCUCUCCACGGCGCCGGCGACGAUGCCGCUAAGGACCCCCCGCUCCGAGGCUGCAGUACCGCAGUGACCUCCACGUUGUCGGCGCCGGUGAAAAUACAUCGUCGUCGGAGGCGGCAAAGGAAGAGGGAGAGGGAGAGGAAGAGGACGGGAAGGGAGGAGAAGGGCAAGAGAGGCGUCGUCGUCGGAGACAGUGGAGGAGAGUUGAAGAGGAAAAAAAAAAAAAAAGAGUCGCGGCGUGGUCUCGGCGAGGUUAGAGGCGAGGAAGGUGGGGGUGUGCGGGCGAGAGUCUGCUCUGUCUCNGCCUCCGCCGCUCUCUGGGAAGAGAAAAAAAAAAAGAACGAGAGAAAAAAAAAAAAGGAGAGAGAAAAAGUAUAAUGGUAUUUUGGUCAGUUUGCUGAAAAAGCGGACCAAAUCUGUAAAUACAAAAAAGGUGGUCCGGUUUUGCGAAAGCCCAAAAUAAGUGAAUUUUUUAUGCAAAUUGGCCAAAUUUUAAUUUAAUUUAAUUUAUGAUUUAAAUUCAAAUUUAAAUUUUAAUGUAAAAUAAAUGGAUAUAAAUGCUAUUUUUUAACAGAUUAAUUAUAAUCACUUAUUUUUAUUUAAAAUAUUUUUAACAAAUUAAUCAUAACUGUUUGUAGAAUUGAAUUUAUAGAUAGAUAUGAAUUUUUUUUUUAACAGAUUGAUCAUAACCGUUCGUUCUUAUUUCAAAUAUUUAUUUACAAAUUGAUCAUAGCCGUUCGUAGAGAAUAUUCUUUUAUUCCUUUUAAUCUCAUUUGUUAUUCUUACACUCCUUAGUCUUUAUCUUUUAUACAUAGUAUAGAUAGGAAUAUUAUUUUUUAAUAGAUGGAUUAUAAUCGUUCGUUUUUAAUUAAUCAUAAUUGUUCUUUUUUAAUUAAUCAUAAUCAUUUUGUAGGCCCGAUAUAAAUUAAAAUUUUAACAAAUUUAUCAUAACCAUUCGUUUUUAAUUGAUCACAAUUAUUGGAUAACUCAAAUUUGAUAACCAAAUUGUCACACUCUAAUAAUCCCACAUCGGAUAGUAAUAAUAACGGGACUUAAGUAUUAUGGGCCGGUGUAUGAGUCCAACAUGUUGUUGUUGCUAGUAAACUAGGUUGUUACACAAAUUAUAUUUAAUUCACAAUUUAAACUUUUUUUUAAAUUUAAAUUUAAUCGAUUUAAAUUAAAAUUUUAGCGGAUUGAUUAUAAUCGUUCGUUUUUAAUUGAUCACAACUGUUCAUAGUAUUGGAUUUAUAGAUGGAUAAUUCAAAAUAGAUGAAUAGGAAUGUUAUUUUUUAACAGAUUGAUCAUAACCGUUUAUUUUUAAUUGACACAACAGUUCGGCCUGUCAUUGUUUUUAUAUAUAGUAUAGAUAGUAGGUAACUUUUGGAAUAAUAGAUGUUAGCUAAUCACUCUAGCAGUUGAUGAUAAUAAUUUUUUUGAUUAAUUAAAAAAGCUACGUUUUGUCACUAAAAAGGAUUUAAGAAUUAAAAUUUUGUGGGUAAUUAAUUUAGUAAUUGAUGUUAAUAAAUUUUUCAUGUUGAUUGAAAAGGUUACUUUUCGUGCAAGAAAAAGCAUGUAAAAAUUUUACAUAGAUUCUUGGUUUCUGAAUAUUAUCCUACCUGGAAAAGUUUUUUUUUUGUCUAUCCAAUUCCUUAAAAAAGUAGUUUUUUGAAAAAAAAAAAAUUCCAAAUUUUAUAAAAAAUUAUUUCUAAAAAAUAAAUUUAUAAAAAGUUAUUCUUUAUUUUUUAAAUUUUUAUCUGAAAAAAAAUCUAUGAAAGAAAUAUUUUUCAUAAUUUUUUGAAAAUCAAUCUUUUAUGCUUUUCUGAGGAUUGAUUGCCCUUCAUUCCAAAUAAAAUGCAUUCAAUUAAUCAGAUAACUUAUUUUUUAAAAAAAUAAUUUAUAUAAUGAAAAUAAGAACAUGUGACAAGAAACAAUGUGGAUAGCGCACAUUAAUAAACUAAGCCACCUUAAUUCCUUGGCAUUUUAAUUACUUACUUGGCAUUAUGAGAAUAAAAUUUUUUCCCUACCAUUUAUGCUACCAUUUAUUACUCUUUGUUGGUCAAUAAAGAGCAAAUUACAAGCCAAGUUAUGGAUUAAAUUCUCAAAAUCCUUAUCCAAUUUGUAUUUAGAUUUGAAUUCAGAUUGAGCUUGUGUUCACAUCAAAAUUGUCGAUCUUAUAAAUAGUUUUCUAUACAAAAAGUAAAAGUGAGAUAUUCUCCAAAUAACAAAAAAACAAAAAACUUUUGAUUUCUUAUAAAAAUAUUUUCUACACAAGAGGAUGAAGUAAGGUGUUCUGCAGAUUUUUUUUUUUAAAAAAAAAAUGGUUAGAUUACAAAGCAAAAAGAAGCUUAUGACGCUAUAAUAAAAAAUUAGGUCUCAAAUAUAAUGUUAGAGAUUGGCUACAAGUCAGAAAGCGAGAAAGUAGCGAGGUUUUACAAACAUGACUUCACCUCCCACCCCACUAAAAUCGAAAGACCGAUUUUCGUAUAAUUAGAAGUGAAAAAGUCGGAUGUUCAAGUUUUUCUAUGAGUUUAUAUUUGGAACUUUUAUUCUCAUUUACUCUUAAAUUUAAAACUCGUAUAUCGACAUUCAAAUUAAUAUAUAUGAGUCUAGCUACUAUGCUAUUAAUAGCACCAAGCGCUUGGUGCUAUCAAAUUUUCCGCCGUUAGUUCUACUCCUUUGGCUAUUUUUACCCGUUAAAUUAUACUAUUCAACCAACCACACAUUCAACUCUAAGGGACUACUAUCAUCUUAACUAUAUAUUCCUACAUCCUAGAGCUGAAAAACCUAAUAGCACCCUAAUUAUAUAUAGGCUAAAUUACAUAAAACCCCCCUGUCAAAACCUGAUUUUUCACUUCCCUCCCUGUCAUUCAAAAAGCUACACUUUGCCUCCUUGUAAAAUAAAAAAUGUUCACUUCACCCCCCACCGUUAGUAAUCCGUUAGGAUUCCGUUUAUAAAAUAUUAUUUUUUUUUUUUAUGCCAAAAAUGCCCUAAGCUUUUAAUCUCCUGUGAACAUGGUGAAUGGUAAAAUGGUUAUUUUAUCAUCACAGUUCACACCGUAUCCCCCUGUAAAUAUUUUUCAUUUAUAAGGGGACAAAGUAUAGAUUUUUAAAUGACAGAGGGGAAGUGAAAAAUUAGGUUUUGACAGGAAGAUUUUAUGUAAUUUAGCCUUAUAUAUAUAUAUAUAUAUAGGUAAUAUUUUUUUUCCUUUUCCUCUUUACCUUUUUGGAUUCUUAAGAAAAGUUACAACCACCAAACACUUAGGUCUGGGUGUAUUAGUGUAUAUAUACUGCAAUAAUCUCUAGGAUGUAGAUAGCCUACUUUCCUCUUUUUAUAUGUUUUAUAAACCAACCAUAGAAUUGGUUUAUAGUUGCCAUUCAAAACCACAUAUGUUGAAGAACAAAUGUAAUGCUUCAUGGAUCAAGCUCCCCAUUUAACAAAAAGUAUAACUGUUUAUUUCUUUAUCUAUUUUGGCCAAUUUGCAUAAAAAAUCCACUUAUUUUGGGCUUUUGCAAAACCGGGCCACCUUUUUUAUUUUUGCAGAUUCGGUCCGCUUUUUCGUCCGCCUGACCAAAAUACCCUUAUUACUUUUUCUCUUUCAUCUUUCUCUCUCCUCUCUGUUUCUAUCGUUCUGUUUUUUUUUCUCGCUGCGCUCGCCGUUCUCCCUCGAAUCCUCCUGCGUCGUCCCCAUCACCGUCGCGUUCCCGAACCGCACCCUCCUCGCUCCCCCCGGCGACCCGCACCGGCCGGCGGCGGAGGAGCGGCCGUGGGGGCCGUCGAGGGGUGCGGGUUACCGGGGGGAGCGAGGAGGGUGCGAUUCGGGAUCGCGACGGUGAUGGGGACGGCGCAGGAGGAUUCGAGGGAGAACGACGGCCGCGGCGAGAAAAAAAAAAAGAGCGAUAGAAUUACACCAUUACACCAUUACCAUUACACCAUUACCAUUACACUAUUACACCAUUACUAUUACACCAUUACACCAUUACCAUUACACCAUUACACCAUUACACCAUUUACGCCAUUACACCAUUACACCAUUACACCAUUUGCCGACGGAGAAGAAC